ACACAAUUGUGCAUGUUUUCUCUUCUAUGCAUUAAAUGACAAAUGGAGAAAAGUUGUACUUUAUAGACUAGGUAUAGACUUUGGUGCAUGCUAGGUAGGUUAGGUAAUAAUUAUGUCAUGUGAACUUAAGACUUUUUGGUCUUGGUUGUUGGCAUAGUUGCUAGUGUAUCCCUAUAACUAGAUGCAAUAUUUGUGCAUUUAGUAAUGCUUAGAAAGUGGGAAUGUAAGCAUCAUAGAAGCAUCCAAGGGGAGAGCA
This 256-nucleotide long non-coding RNA is filed under the name Malus domestica (apple). RNAcentral describes it as "long non-coding RNA (MDOM_LNC020649)". Lineage: Eukaryota; Viridiplantae; Streptophyta; Magnoliopsida; Rosales; Rosaceae. The record is from RNAcentral.